GACGAACGCUGGCGGCGUGCUUAACACAUGCAAGUCGAACGGAAAGGCCCUGCUUUUGUGGGGUGCUCGAGUGGCGAACGGGUGAGUAACACGUGAGUAACCUGCCCUUGACUUUGGGAUAACUUCAGGAAACUGGGGCUAAUACCGGAUAGGAGCUCCUGCUGCAUGGUGGGGGUUGGAAAGUUUCGGCGGUUGGGGAUGGACUCGCGGCUUAUCAGCUUGUUGGUGGGGUAGUGGCUUACCAAGGCUUUGACGGGUAGCCGGCCUGAGAGGGUGACCGGCCACAUUGGGACUGAGAUACGGCCCAGACUCCUACGGGAGGCAGCAGUGGGGAAUAUUGCACAAUGGGCGGAAGCCUGAUGCAGCAACGCCGCGUGCGGGAUGAAGGCUUUCGGGUUGUAAACCGCUUUCGCCUGUGACGAAGCGUGAGUGACGGUAAUGGGUAAAGAAGCACCGGCUAACUACGUG
Molecule: ribosomal RNA, 468 nt
Filed under: uncultured bacterium
Lineage: Bacteria
Description: partial 16S ribosomal RNA
Rfam family: Bacterial small subunit ribosomal RNA
Source: RNAcentral